GAACAAAUGUGCUGUGACAGAUGCUGCUUGGGGAGAAAGGCCUAUUUUGAUGUGCACCAUGGAGGAUUUGUGUUCCUAUGCUAGGAGACUCUCCCUCUCAGGUAUGAAGCGGAAAUUUACAGAUAAAGCAAUGAAGAAGGAGCAGUAAGUUUGCUAGCCAGCCUUGUAGAAACUUCCUCCAGACUAUACAGUCAUUAACAUAUGCAGAAAUAAAUCAGCAGGAUGUUCCCGCCCUUCCUCCCCCUCCCCCGCAAGACAAUAGCUUUGCACCUGUUGAAGACUUAUGAAAUUGGGCAGAUUUUUCUUUUUCUCUCACUGUAAGCAUUUUAUAGGUCAGGCACAGUGGAAAAUCAGUGAUCCAAACCAAACUGAAAUGUGUGUUGUAGUGGUUGACUUGGUCAUGUAACUGGUUGAAAUUAAAAGUAUUAUAGGGAUAACCUUGUGUUCUUGUGGCAGUGCAAUGCACAGUCAUGUAAGAGAUCAGUAUUUAGGCCCAGAUCCACAAAAGGAUUUAGGCACCUACAGCUCAGAUUUAGGCACCUAAGUCCCCGUUGUGGGCAUCACUGUGAUUCACAAAACCCCUGCUUGGCUGCUGCCUAACUCUGUAGGUGCCUAAAUUCACUUGGUGCCUAUGUUUUUGCUGUAAAAGUUCCCUAGGUACCUAAGUUUCUGCUACUGAGUAUGCACAAUGUUGCCUUUCUCUAGGCAUCCAUAUGCCUGUCUCACACCGAAGCUCCAGUGCAAUCCUCAAACCAGGAGAAGAUAGGCAUUCCUCUGCCUGAUCUGCUAGGUGUGCUCUGAACAUGCCUCCUCACUCCACAUGAACUGGCCAGGAGAGAGGAGUCCUCCCUUUAGCCCAUUGUUUAAGGUAUUCACUCAGGAAGUGGGAGACCCUGGCUGAGUUUCCUCCCCUGCCUUAUGAGAAGGGAUUUGAACAGGGGUUCCUCACUGCUCAGUGGAGUGUCCUAACCACUGGGCUAUGGGCAUUCUGAUGUGGGGCUUUCUCCAUGGCUCUUGUUGAAGCUGCUCCACUUUAGUUAAAUCAUUCAGUAUUAAUUGGGCCAGAGAAAGAAUGAGAAUCACUCUAUAGUCCAACAGUUAGGGUGCUCACCUGACAGGUGGAGAACCCCUGUUCAAAUCCCUUCUUCUGAUCAGCCAAGUGGGGGCGGGGGAUUGAACCAGGAUCUCCUACAUUCCAGAUGAGGGCCCUAACUAGUGGCAUAAAAGCUAUAAGGGAAUCCUUCUCCCACUGCACCCCCAGCCAUUUUGUGUCUAACUCAUUCUCACAAGGCACCUAAGCCACCUGAUUCCGGGAAAGGAGUUCCCAGCUGUGAAUCCCAGGCAGAGACAGGCACCUCCCUAUAGUCCAGACUUAGGUGCCAAACUCUGUGAAAGACGUGGGGCUUAGGAUACAUCCCUCUCAGCAGCUUCUCCUAUUGGCUUGCUUAGGCAGCUUCCUGCCUAGCAUGCUGCCAUUCUUAAGCACCUCUCUCUCCCCAUUUAUUGUAUAGGGAGCCUAGGCACCUAACACAGGCUUUGUGGAUCCUGUUGUUGUUCCAGUGAUUUUCUAGGUGCCUAAAAGUAGGGUGUUGCCAUGCUGAGUGUUACAAUGCCUAAGUCUCUUUGUGGAUCUGGGCCUUGGUUUCCAAGUUCCAUUGAUGGUCAAGACAAUGUGCUGGGCCUGUUGAGGGGCAGACAGAGAGCAUUGCACUGCUCCCUAGGGACACCAGUUGACAGGUAAAUAGAGCUCUAAAGAGAGCCAUAUCCAGCUCUCCUACACCAAAGAGAAGGUUACUGCAACAUGGAGCACUGGGUGAGAAGUGAAAAGGCCAAGAGUUAGCAAAUAUGAAAACAAACAGCUUGAGAUUUUUUUUAUUUCAGUAUGAAAAUCAUGUGCAUGUCAGAGAAGAUUGGUCACAGAACCUUUUCAUAUAAUAGAGCAAUUUGGAUAAUUGAGUUUAUAAUGUAAUGCUACUCAUGUGCUUUGCCAACUAGAAUUUUUGUUACUAUUUUCCUCCUACCUUAUAAGCCCCCAUGCUUAAGCAAUGCUUUAUAACUGAUAUUUUGAAAAUAAAAUAAGGAAUUUAAAAAUUAACUUUAAAUGUUUGAAGGAAGGGGAGGUGGUGUUAGAAUGCCAGGAUGGGCUAAGAUGCAUUUAUCUGAAGGUCUUGAUGUCCUCACUAAAAGAUUAACCCAAAAAACUAAGCUACAAAACUCACAGAAAAUCAUGUAAAUUGGGAACAAUGAAGAAUUAAACAAAGAAUUUGUUCAAAAAAUCUGCAAUGACUUAUUGGCAAAGCAAUAUGAAUAAGCAGUCAAACUCCGCAAAGAAAGAAGCUAGUAGAAAGAUGUUGGUUGGCAAACAUCUAUCUAAUGACCCCAUACAGGACUGAAA
This is a long non-coding RNA of Malaclemys terrapin pileata, 2395 nucleotides long. RefSeq lists it as uncharacterized. The record is from RefSeq and is a predicted model, not a curated record. The transcript has 3 exons. Lineage: Eukaryota; Metazoa; Chordata; Testudines; Emydidae.